Molecule: ribosomal RNA, 475 nt
Filed under: uncultured bacterium
Lineage: Bacteria
Description: bacterial SSU rRNA
Rfam family: Bacterial small subunit ribosomal RNA
Source: RNAcentral
UAGUCCACACCGUAAACGAUGAGAGCUAGUUGUCUGCAAGCAUGCUUGUAGGUGACGCAGCUAACGCAUUAAGCUCUCCGCCUGGGGAGUACGGUCGCAAGAUUAAAACUCAAAGAAAUUGACGGGGGCCCGCACAAGCGGUGGAGCAUGUGGUUUAAUUCGAAGCAACGCGCAGAACCUUACCUACCCUUGACAUGCCGGUCGCGAUUUCCAGAGAUGGAUUUCUUCAAUUCGGUUGGACCGUGCACAGGUGCUGCAUGGCCGUCGUCAGCUCGUGUCGUGAGAUGUUGGGUUAAGUCCCGCAACGAGCGCAACCCUCACUUUUAGUUGCCAUCAUUAAGUUGGGCACUCUGAAAGAACUGCCAGUGAUAAGCUGGGAGGAAGGUGGGGGAUGGACAUCAAGUCCUCAUGGGCCCUUACGUGUUGGGGCUACACACGUGCUACAAUGGGUAUCUACAACAGGGAAGCAAGGACU